GACGAACGCUGGCGGCGUGCUUAACACAUGCAAGUCGAGCGAUGAAGCUCCUUCGGGAGUGGAUUAGCGGCGGACGGGUGAGUAACACGUGGGUAACCUGCCUCAUAGAGGGGAAUAGCCUUCCGAAAGGAAGAUUAAUACCGCAUAAAAUUGUAGCUUCGCAUGAAGCAGCAAUUAAAGGAGCAAUCCGCUAUGAGAUGGACCCGCGUCGCAUUAGCUAGUUGGUGAGGUAACAGCUCACCAAGGCGACGAUGCGUAGCCGACCUGAGAGGGUGAUCGGCCACAUUGGGACUGAGACACGGCCCAGACUCCUACGGGAGGCAGCAGUGGGGAAUAUUGCACAAUGGGGGAAACCCUGAUGCAGCAACGCCGCGUGAGUGAUGACGGUCUUCGGAUUGUAAAACUCUGUCUUCAGGGACGAUAAUGACGGUACCUGAGGAGGAAGCCACGGCUAACUACGUGCCAGCCGCCGCAGUAA
Molecule: ribosomal RNA, 478 nt
Filed under: uncultured bacterium
Lineage: Bacteria
Description: partial 16S ribosomal RNA
Rfam family: Bacterial small subunit ribosomal RNA
Source: RNAcentral